GCCGGGGUAGCCAAGUGGCCAAAGGCGACGGCCUUAAGACCACGUACGGUGUGGAUUGACAGCCGUUCCCUGUAGAGGGUACCGGAGUUCGAAUCUCCGCCCCGGCA
Molecule: transfer RNA, 107 nt
Filed under: Candidatus Nanosalinarum sp. J07AB56
Lineage: Archaea; Methanobacteriati; Methanobacteriota; Candidatus Nanohaloarchaea
Rfam family: tRNA
About the family: Transfer RNA (tRNA) molecules are approximately 80 nucleotides in length. Their secondary structure includes four short double-helical elements and three loops (D, anti-codon, and T loops).
Source: Rfam by way of RNAcentral